This 468-nucleotide ribosomal RNA is filed under the name uncultured bacterium. Its description in RNAcentral is "partial 16S ribosomal RNA". It matches the Rfam family "Bacterial small subunit ribosomal RNA", at positions 28 to 507 of the family's 1533-position model. The record is from RNAcentral.
GACGAACGCUGGCGGCGUGCUUAACACAUGCAAGUCGAACGGAAAGGCCCUGCUUUUGUGGGGUGCUCGAGUGGCGAACGGGUGAGUAACACGCGAGUAACCUGGCCUUGACUUUGGGAUAACUUCAGGAAACUGGGGCUAAUACCGGAUAGGAGCUCCUGCUGCAUGGUGGGGGUUGGAAAGUUUCGGCGGUUGGGGAUGGACUCGCGGCUUAUCAGCUUGUUGGUGGGGUAGUGGCUUACCAAGGCUUUGACGGGUAGCCGGCCUGAGAGGGUGACCGGCGACAUUGGGACUGAGAUGCGGCCCAGGCACGUACGGGAGGCAGCAGUGGGGAAUAUUGCACAAGGGGCGGAGGCCUGAUGCAGCAACGCCGCGUGCGGGAUGACGGCCUUCGGGUUGUAAACCGCUUUCGCCUGUGACGAAGCGUGAGUGACGGUAAUGGGUAAAGAAGCACCGGCUAACUACGUG